GAUCACAUGGCCGUGCGUAGUUGCAAGGGAGCCUGGGAUAUGUAGUACUUAGCCUGGCAGCCCUGGACCUCUUUAAAACCCCGGAGGGGGAUGUUCUGUUACUAAAGGGAAGAUGGCAGAAUGGAUACUGGGCAACAGCCGGCAGUCUCUGCCGUGUAGGAUUCAAGGAGAUACUCUGGGGAGACACUCAGCACAGGGCCAGAUAUACGGCCCUGCUCAGGGAAUAUGUGACAUUAAUUGGUAUCAUAAGUGUGUCCUUUUCACUUUCCCAAGGGAUCCAGGGACCUUGGGGUGGCUCGGGGGGCUUCGUGGGGGCUCCAUCCCAUGCCCUCCACCCUCUAGGUGAUCAGGAGAAGCACCGAGAGACAGCAGACCCCAGCCACCCCACAGCCCAGGCCACGGAGGAUCUCAGGCCUCCUGUCUCUCUUCACGGAAGAAACAGGAAAACAGCCUUUACUUCAGGGCUCAGAGACAAGGAGAAAUGGUGACAUUGGGGCCCUUGCAGCCCUGCCCCCCGGCUGCCUCUGAGGAGCAUGGCAACCUUUGUUGCUUUGUGACUCAAGGCCGGGUGCGCUCUGCUAUGUUCUGGCUCUCGGACGCUGGUCAGGACACCAGACAGGCAUCCUUGUCCCCCCAAACGCAGCACCAGCUGAUUUGAGCUCAGAAGCAUUCCCUCCUUAAAUAUUCUCCUCUGAACUCAGAGCUCUUUCCAGCCCUAGGAGGACUGACAGAUGACAUGGGAAGGUGACCAGAAGCAAGACCCUGCUUCUUCACUUGAUCUCAAAACUGGACUGACCCUCUCUCCUCGACUACUAGAGAAGUCAGGUCCCAGGCCUGUGUGGGGCUCACAAAGUAAACAAGGCAGUCAUGGUCCCUGUCCUCAUGGAACCCCCAGUCCUUUGCACACCAAGUGGAUUCUCCCCAGAGCUGCCACAGCAGGAGUGGCCCGAGGACCCAAGGAAGGAACACUGAGCUAGAAAUCAGGCCUCUAGCUAGCACCAUUAUCUCUGAGCCUCGGUUCCACAUCUGGUGCGUGGGGGCGGCUGGAGAUAGCACAGGACCACAUGCUCUGCAAGCUCUCCCAAUCUGGAAGAUCAUGAGAGGUCAUGGGAGUGCCUUGGCCUUGCCAGAAUGGACUUCCCGGACACAGGAAGGAGCCUCCGGAACCAGCAGAGAGGCAGGGGAGAGGCCAGAGGUCCAAGUAUGAAAAGAGUUCACAGACUAGGAAGCUGAGGCUCUGCGGGGCACAGUGACUUGCCCAAGGUCACUCGAUCCUGCCAGAGCUGGAAUGGGAACCCAGGAUCGCGGCUGCUCACCACCAGCUGGUCACCUGUCACCACCUGGCUGAGGGUGGACACUUCUCCCAGACUCAGCAGGCCUUGGUUCUUCCUCCGAGAAAUGGACAUCCCAAAGCAACGACCAUGCAGAGGGCGUUUGUGAAAUCAGUGUGCUGCUGAACCAUCCCUGUGAGGCUGCCAGUAUAAUUCCCCUGCUCUCUGUGAGGCUUGGAGGAGUGAGGGGACCCACCCAAGUUCACACAGCAGUUUUGCUGGAACUCCAGUUUUCCAUGAAGCUUCCAUGAAGAUUCGUGCGUUAAGUCUUUGCAUGGACCUAAGUUUUCAUUGCUCUGGGAUAAAUGCCUUAGAGGGGAAUCGCCUGUCCUGUGGGAAGGGUGUCGGCCCCACCCAGCGGGCUGGCAGGCAAAUCACCUACUUUGGUGAAGGAAUGGCAAAGCGAGGCUCAUCUUUUACAGAUGUGGGUGAUUACAGACGGCCACCGAUUGCCUCAUUUCUCCCACGAAGACAUAGUGUCUUCUCUCCUCCUCUUGAGAGAUUCCUGGCUGGUCCCAGGACUGGCUUCGAGGAACAUAACAGAGCCAACAUGAUGCUGUGUAGCUUCUAACAUUUGAGCUUCUCGAUGUGCUCCCUCUUGGAAGCCAGCCACCAUGUGAAAACCCACUAUGCUGAGAGCAAGCCCAGGAGCCAUAUGGACAAGGGAGACCAGUGGGCAGCAUGAGGGGUACCAGAAGCAUAAAGGAAGCCUUCCUUAACCCUCCAGCCCAGCCACCUGCUAAAUGCAGCCCUAGGGGAUGACCCCAGCCCAUGGCUCUCUUGCUAAAGAGAUCUAUAAGUAGGGGGAAAACUUGAGGGUCUCCCACACAGUUAUAAACUGAAUUGUGUCUCCCCAAAAUUCAUAUGUUGAAGUCCUAACUCCCAGUGCCUCAGAAAGUAACCACAUUUGGAGCUAAGGUCUUGGGAGAGGUAAUUAGGUUCAAAUGAGGUCAUCAAGGUGGGGGCCCUCAUCCAGGAAGAUCAGUGUCCUCAUAAGAAGACAAGCACAUGGAAAGACACUAGACCCAGGUGUGGACACACACAGGAGAGACCUCGUGAGGACACAGCAAGAAGGUGGCCGCCUACAAGCCAAAGAGAGAGAGAGGUCUCAGAGGAAACCAACCCUGCUGACACCUUGGACUUCCAGCCUCCAGAACCGUGAGAGAAUGAAUUCCUGAUAAGCCGCUCAGUCUGGUAUUUUGUUAUGGCGGCCCUGGCACACAUAUCCACACGCCCACUACUCAAUGCUGGAAUGGGGACAGCAUACCCACAAACACUGUCUUCUAGAAGGGGUAGGAAGAGGAGGCAAGUCCUUGGCAUCGUGCGCCGCAAUCCUGAGUCCGCCAGGUGGAGACUGCCAGGGCCACCGCCUCCAGGGUGACACAGACACUCUCCAAUGGACCCCACGGUGCUCCCUUGGAACUCUUUCUGUCCUCUGCUCUCCGAGGCCCUUGUGUGUGGGGGGCCCUAUGGGUGGACUUCCUUUUCCAUCUCGUCCUUGGCCACAUGGAAUGAGGACCCAAGGGCCCUCAUGGAGGGCUGAGCAGAUCUUUCCAUCUGCUCUCUUCCCUCCGGGGCCCACAUGUGGUUGUAAGUCGUGAACGGUCACAGCCUCUUUUAGUGCAGGCUGGCAGCUCUUUUGCCAGUGUGAUCCUCUUCGAAACUUAGCUUAUGUUUUAUCUCUUUGUCCCCACUCAGCAACGUAUGCUAAAGACGCAGCCAAAUUUUCUAGGCCUGCUUCUCUAGACUUCAUCACCAGAGGUUUGGGCAAAGCAGGUAAUGGCCACAUCUGGAUGUCGUCUUUACCGUGAGACCGAAUCUCAGCUGGACUCCAUCACACAAAGCGCUUCUUAGUUGCAUUAUUUUGUCCUCGGCCUAGAAGAUUCUUUAUUGACAAGUUGUGGAUUACCCAUUUUGAAAAGUCUCUACAGAAAGUUUAAAAUUCACACUUGGACUCCUCAAACAAUACUUUUCUGGGGAUGCAGAUAGUUAAAUUUAAAACUCGUAUCUGCUCCAAGAUCGUACUGUGCAUUCCACAUACCAAUAUGUCAGAAGGUUUACUAAAAUGUCAUCUGUAACUCGAAUUUGAAGAAUCAACCAACUGCCAGAGGGGCGGGGACUGGGUCUGUUUUGCCCACUCAUCUUGCAAAGAGCAAGCAGGCUUUUCCAAAAAUGGCCCUGGGUUCUCUAGGUUUCUGGAGGACAAACUGCUGGUGUGUGUGUGUGUGUGUGUGUGUGUGUGUGUGUGUGUCUAUGUGUGUGUCCCAGACAGUAUCACCUUUUUUCACUCGGGGACGAGAUGUUUGUGUCCAAGCUUGCUCCCAUAAGAUGGGUGGCCUUCUUGCAAUGGCAUCGCUCAACUUCCCAUGGGCUCCAGGCCACUGGGCCUUGGGCUCCUGGAUCUCUGGCUUCCUUUCUCUGUCACUGGACAGAGAUGAGAAAUAGCUGUAUUUUUCAACGCUGAAAAUCCAGAAUUUCUGGGCUCUCUCUUUCCCUUUCAUCCCUGCUUGCAAAUAGGCUAAUUCCCUUCCGAGUGCAUCUCUUUUCUGUGGUGUCUUGGGAAAAAGCAGUGCACGAGUUUGCUAGGGCUGCUGUAACAAAGUAGACAGAAAUGUAUUGUUCGCAGUCCCAGAAGCUAGGGGUCUCCACUGAAGGUGUCAGCAGGUGGCUUCCCUCUGACGGCCACGAAGGAAGGCUCUGUUCCAGGCCUCUCUCUGGCUGGGGGAUGGCCACAUUCUCCCUGUGCCUUCACAUCACCUUUCCCUGUACAUGUGAGUGCGCAAACUUCCCCUCGUUCUGAGGACACCAGUCAUGUUGAUUAGGGCUCACCCUGGUGAUUCCAUUUUGCUUUAAUUACCUCUUUAGAGACUCUCUCCAAAUAUAGUCACAUUUUGGGGCACAUGGGUGUCUCAGUGGUUGAAUGUCUCCCUUAGGUUAGGUCGUGAUCCCGGGGUCCUGGGAUCGAGUCCCGCGUU
Molecule: long non-coding RNA, 4306 nt
Organism: Canis lupus familiaris (dog)
Lineage: Eukaryota; Metazoa; Chordata; Mammalia; Carnivora; Canidae
Exons: 8
Source: RefSeq, a predicted model, not a curated record